UAGGGAAUAUUGCGCAAUGGGGGAAACCCUGACGCAGCAACGCCGCGUGAGUGAGGAAGGCCUUCGGGUUGUAAAACUCUGUUAAGGGGGAAGAAAGGCACAGUGGUUAAUACCCACCGUGUUUGACGGUACCUCUAGAGGAAGCACCGGCUAACUUCGUGCCAGCAGCCGCGGUAAUACGAAGGGUGCAAGCGUUGUUCGGAUUUAUUGGGCGUAAAGCGCGCGCAGGCGGGCGGCCAAGUCAGAUGUGAAAUCUCGGGGCUCAACCCCGAAACUGCGUCUGAAACUGGCCACCUAGAGUCUCGGGGGGGGAUGGGGAAUUUCGCAUGUAGGGGUAAAAUCCGUAGAGAUGCGAAGGAACACCUGUGGGGAAGCCGCCAUCCUAGACGAGUACUGACGCUGAGGCGCGAAAGCGUGGGGAGCAAACAGG
RNAcentral lists this ribosomal RNA (430 nucleotides) under uncultured Bacteriovoracaceae bacterium. Its description in RNAcentral is "bacterial SSU rRNA". It matches the Rfam family "Bacterial small subunit ribosomal RNA", at positions 355 to 776 of the family's 1533-position model. The record is from RNAcentral. Lineage: Bacteria; Pseudomonadati; Bdellovibrionota; Bacteriovoracia; Bacteriovoracales; Bacteriovoracaceae.